This 347-nucleotide long non-coding RNA is filed under the name Brassica napus (rape). RNAcentral's name for it is "long non-coding RNA (BNAP_LNC006979)". The record is from RNAcentral. Lineage: Eukaryota; Viridiplantae; Streptophyta; Magnoliopsida; Brassicales; Brassicaceae.
AAAAAGAAAAAAAAAUGGUUAUCCUUUAGAAAAAGGAAACAUUAAGAAAAAUUGAUAUGGUUAAUGAGAAUCUUAAAUAUAGCUUGCAUAAAUGUUUAACAAUAGACUAAUGAGAACUUAUACAGAUUUGUGGCAUAAAAUUAUUUAUAAAAUAAAAUUAAUACAAAACUAAACAGACAUGAAAUGUAACAAAAGGAAGUAAAAAAAGAAAGACAUAUCCAUCACCAGAAAAAAUCGAUUAUCAAUGAAAAUUUAGUUGAAUAAAAUCGAAUCAAGAAAAAAUAGAAGAUUAAAUCCUCAUCUUGUGGCGCCGCUUCAUUCCAAGUUUCAUCAUCCUUGCUCCCCUC